UAUUUUUCCAUUCUGUCACAUAACCUACUAUUCCAUUUGGUCACAUUACCAGUCUAGCUCUGCAUGGACAUUAGACAAUUCCAUUUAAUUGGUAAUGUUACCUACUAUCUGGUCUCUCUGGACUAAUUUUAUUUUUUUAGUGAAGACCAGAUCUAUUUUGUAUUUUUGUGGUGUUAUUGGUGCUUUAAACAAUGCGAAAUAGUCCAAUAUACCUUCUACUUUUGAGAUCUUCAUGGUUCCUGUAAUAGAAAAACUGCUGCGAUUAUAAUAACUGGAAACAUAGGCGUACGGGGCUGAUGCUCUC
Molecule: non-coding RNA, 304 nt
Organism: Paramuricea clavata
Lineage: Eukaryota; Metazoa; Cnidaria; Anthozoa; Malacalcyonacea; Plexauridae
Source: the annotation of a GenBank genome assembly